Molecule: ribosomal RNA, 475 nt
Filed under: Perilitus sp. BJS-2011
Lineage: Eukaryota; Metazoa; Arthropoda; Insecta; Hymenoptera; Braconidae
Description: eukaryotic LSU rRNA
Rfam family: Eukaryotic large subunit ribosomal RNA
Source: RNAcentral
CCUAAAGGCGCAAUGAAAGUAAAGGUUAUCCUUGCGAUAACUGAGGGAGGAUGAGUUGCAUUACGAUGUCAGCUCCGCACUCCCGGGGCGUCUCAUUCUUAUUUAUAAGAAGAGGCGCACCUAGAGCGUACACGUUGGGACCCGAAAGAUGGUGAACUAUGCCUGGUCAGGAUGAAGUCAGGGGAAACCCUGAUGGAGGUCCGUAGCGAUUCUGACGUGCAAAUCGAUCGUCGGAACUGGGUAUAGGGGCGAAAGACUAAUCGAACCAUCUAGUAGCUGGUUCCCUCCGAAGUUUCCCUCAGGAUAGCUGGCACUCAGUUGAAUAUAUUACGAGUCUCAUCUGGUAAAGCGAAUGAUUAGAGGCCUUGGGGUCGAAACGACCUCAACCUAUUCUCAAACUUUAAAUGGGUGAGAUCUCUGGCUUGCUUGAUUAUAUAUUUGAAGCCAUGAGAUUUCGGAUCAGAGUGCCAAGUGG